UGGGGAAUCUUGCACAAUGGGGGAAACCCUGAUGCAGCGACGCCGCGUGAACGAUGAAGCCCUUCGGGGUGUAAAGUUCUUUCGACAGGAACGAUAAUGACGGUACCAUAGGAAUAAGCACCGGCUAACUCCGUGCCAGCAGCCGCGGUAAUACGGAGGGUGCAAGCGUUAUCCGGAUUCACUGGGUUUAAAGGGUGCGUAGGCGGAUAUGUAAGUCAGUGGUGAAAUCAACGGGCUCAACCUGUUAACUGCCAUUGAUACUGUGUAUCUUGAAUAUGAGAGAGGUAGGCGGAAUGUUGCAUGUAGCGGUGAAAUGCUUAGAUAUGCUACGGAACACCGAUUGCGAAGGCAGCUUACUAUUUCGUAAUUGACGCUGAGGCACGAAAGCGUGGGUAGCGAACA
Molecule: ribosomal RNA, 402 nt
Filed under: uncultured bacterium
Lineage: Bacteria
Description: bacterial SSU rRNA
Rfam family: Bacterial small subunit ribosomal RNA
Source: RNAcentral